RNAcentral lists this long non-coding RNA (226 nucleotides) under Lathyrus oleraceus (garden pea). RNAcentral's name for it is "Pisum sativum (pea) long non-coding RNA (PSAT_LNC012904)". Lineage: Eukaryota; Viridiplantae; Streptophyta; Magnoliopsida; Fabales; Fabaceae. The record is from RNAcentral.
AAAAAUCAAGAAGAUGCACAUCAUUGGUGUGACACAAAUUGUCACACCUUGGUUCAAAAAUUCAUAUCUAGCAAACCACAAAUGAUAAAUGCACAAUCUCUACAUCAAAACAAAGAUGAAUGAGUCUAGUUUCACCACAAAAAAUUUCAAGGGCAUUGGAUACAUCAUGAUCAUUUCACAAGAGUUUUGGCAAAAAGUAUCACAUAGGCAUACAUGACAAGAAAAC